AUUGAACGCUGGCGGCAUGCUUUACACAUGCAAGUCGAACGGUAACAGGCCUUCGGGUGCUGACGAGUGGCGAACGGGUGAGUAAUGCAUCGGAACAUACCCAGUCGUGGGGGAUAACGUAGCGAAAGUUACGCUAAUACCGCAUACGUCCUGAGGGAGAAAGCGGGGGAUCGUAAGACCUCGCGCGAUUGGAGUGGCCGAUGUCAGAUUAGCUAGUUGGUGGGGUAAAGGCCCACCAAGGCGACGAUCUGUAGCGGGUCUGAGAGGAUGAUCCGCCACACUGGGACUGAGACACGGCCCAGACUCCUACGGGAGGCAGCAGUGGGGAAUUUUUGGACAAUGGGGGAAACCCUGAUCCAGCCAUGCCGCGUGCGGGAAGAAGGCCUCGGUUGU
Molecule: ribosomal RNA, 393 nt
Filed under: uncultured bacterium
Lineage: Bacteria
Description: bacterial SSU rRNA
Rfam family: Bacterial small subunit ribosomal RNA
Source: RNAcentral